AAGAAAUUAUCGAGGACUUUGAUUGUUCAAGGCAUGAAUUGCUCUGAUGCAAAGUCCUCCUUUUUUUUCUUGCUUGAUAUAAAAGGUCUUCAGUAUCUAAAACGUAUGAAACCUAAGAUGCAACAUGUUCCCAGAAAAAAACAAAUAAUGGAAAUUCAGAAACACAAUAGGGGGACAUACGUACCAAAUGGAUGGUAUUAACAAAAUGAGAAAAAGCAAAUAGUAUUUAGAAGGAUUCAGGCAAGAAUGGUAAUAUUUAUAAAACUUGCAAAUGUAAAUUCUUAAAUACCUUAGACGAAUUGCAAGCUAUCUUACACUCCAGUCCAUUGACAAUUUGUAGUCCAUCCAUGGUCUGGCUUGAAAAUUC
RNAcentral lists this long non-coding RNA (367 nucleotides) under Phaseolus vulgaris (common bean). Its description in RNAcentral is "long non-coding RNA (PVUL_LNC003822)". The record is from RNAcentral. Lineage: Eukaryota; Viridiplantae; Streptophyta; Magnoliopsida; Fabales; Fabaceae.